GUCUGAGGGAGCUGGGGGUGUUUGGCCUGGAGACAAGGAGGCUCAGGGGGACCUUAUUGCUGUCUACAAAUACCUGAGAGGAAGUGGUAGCAACAUUGGUCUCUUCUCCCAAGUAAUAAGUGAUGGGAUAAGAGGAAAUGGCCUCAAGUUGUGCCAGGGAAGGUUUAGUCUGGAUAACAGGAAAAGUGUCUUCACCAAGAGAGUUGUCAAACAUUGGAACAGGCUGCCCAGGGAAGUGGUGGAGUCACCAUCCCUGGAGGUGUUAACAGAUGUGUAGAUGUGGCAUCUGGGGACAUGGUUUAGUGGUGGCCUUGGCAGUGCUGGGUUAAUGGUUGGACUCCAUGAUAUUAAAGGUCUUUUCCAGUCUAACUUAUUUCAUGAUUUUAUGUUUGGUCUUAUGUAAUCAGUAUUGCAGUAACAGCUACUUUGAUCUUAGUCGUGUGGCUACUAUCUUAACAAACAGGAACCAUGUUUUCCUGAUGUCCUCAUGACACAAAGAAACCGGUUCUUGUAAAAAAAGAAUCAAUUUAUUCUUUUCACAUCUUUUUGGCAAAUCUUUGCUUUUUCCCUGUUUUCCCAGGAAUAUCAAACAAUCUUAUUCAGAAGAACCAGACACUCAGAUCUGUUACAGUUAAUCCAACUGGAUUUUACUGUUUUAUACAUUAGUUCAAGGAGCUAAGAAGGUGGGACAGUCUUCUCUGUCCCUUCCAUUGAUGUUUUAUGACACAGGUACACUGGGACAAGACAAGUUUCCUUAAUGCCACAUCUACAUCCUAUAUAAAUGGAACAUAAACUGGCAGCAUCCUGUAAGGAAAAUGCAGCAAUACAUUUUGUAUAAGAUUUAGUGGUUUUGCCCUUCUGUGACUUGGAGGAACUGCAGCUGUACUAGAAUAGCUUCAGGAUUUGGCUGACUUAUGUAUGCACCCGCCAGGGCUCCAGUAUCUGUGCCAAAAUAGAGAAAGAGAGAAAAUCCCUGCACUUCCACACAACAUGUGGGGAGAAAGACUGUUGUGUCUGGAGCCAGGAUGGCAGCCAGCACCCGUCCCUCUGGCAGCUACGCUUUGCUGAAUGCAUUUCAGAGGUUUGGUUUUGUCUUGUGCACACAUCAUGUUUUCUGUCCACUGUCGGAGCAUCUUAAAUGAAGACAUAAUGGAUGACUGUGACAGAGGAGUUUGGUUUCUCUGGGCCAUUCUCUGCUCUUUUGUGACUAUGCAGAAGGACUUGUGUGCUCACUGUGGUUGUUGCCUUUUGCCACUAAUUAGAGGAAGAACUGCUCUGGCUUCAUCCCUAAGCUUGCAAGUCUCUCAAAGUCAUGAUGAUGUCACUAUUUUUUAUGUAGCCUGGAUUAUAAAGAUGUAACACUAAAGGAAUGACAGUGAUUAUUUCACAUUGGCUGGGUGGUAUCUUCUGAGACUACGAUUUCUUUAGUACCAAUUGUAACUCUAGAUACCACAACACCACUUGCUUAGGUUCAAGGAGAAAAGAAAAAGCACAGGUGUGAGGAAGUUGCAUUGUACAACUGUGUUAUCUGCAAUGCAGGCAAGUGAUUUAUGAUUGCAUGUUUCAUGGAGCUGGAAUGAUAUUGCCAGAGGUAAGAAUAAAGAGGAAAAUUCAACCUCCCUUCGGGUGACAGACAUCUUAAAAAAUAAAGAGGAUCCUUUUGAAUUUUCUGGCAAGUCUCAUCAGGAGAGUCCUACAGCAAAAAGGGAAACGUGUCUUUCCCUUUGCAGGCACUACAACUGCCCCAGAACAACCACUACUCACUGUGUAAGAUCCCUUUGAUAGGCAACCAGGGAAACUGCUGCUGCAGCCGCUAACUGUACCCAGGCUGCGUUCCCUUUCUGCUAGUGCACACAACUUGCUCUUCUGACAUUGUGCAAUUCCACAGUAAUACAGACAUUAGUUUCAUGGACAACUCUGACCAUUUUUGCUUUAUAGAAAGAAAUCAGCUCUGUAAUCAGCAGAAUUGAUGACAUUUGGUGUCCUAUGGUUUUCCUUUCCUUCCAAAGCAUGGAAAGCCCCAGGUCCCAGGGGCAGGUAUUGGGAAAACUUGAAAUCGUUCUACUUCUCAUUGACUGGCCAAGGAUCAAGGGAAAUGAGAUUGCUGGGUUGGCAAGAGAACCUCAACACCAACCUGAAGUUGCUUGAAUAGUAUAAACUUGAAGCAGUAUGAAGUUUUGAUGUUUUCGUUGAUAGUAUUUAGAGCACAGUAUCAUCUAACAGCAAUCACAACUAGAGCUUUAGCAAGAGAGAUGUCUUACACAAGCACAAAAGGUCUGAGCCUUCAAGCAGUUGCUUCUAGUCUGAUCUAAAUCAUGUCUAAUGAGACAGAAGUGUUGAACCCCUGAAUUAACCGCUCUGUUCCUUCUCUGUUUUCAAGCUUGUGCUUUGUUGCUUUGGGGUUUUCUCUUUUUGCCAAUUUGAAUCAAUUACAUUAAUUUUGCAGCUCUCCUGUCCUGCACUGCCUUUCAAAAGUGUUCCUCUUGUUCUGUGACUUUCCCUUUAGCUAUUUAAAAGUGUUUUCCAAGGAAGAUCAACACCAGCCUGGGUGCUUGGCCUUGUUUUGGGAACCUUGGGCAUGCCCUGGUGCAGUGCCUGCAGCCACUAGAUGGCACAGGGCGAGGGACUCUACACCAUGAAUAGCAACCUGACGUUUUCAGUCUGUUAAGUAUGAUUAAAGGAUAAAUAAUAUUAAAUGUUUCUUUAAUAGGAGAAAAUGCACAGCAUUGACAGUAGUGAUUAAGUUGUAUUAAACAGUUGUUAUUCUGGA
This is a long non-coding RNA of Neopsephotus bourkii (Bourke's parrot), 2770 nucleotides long. RefSeq lists it as uncharacterized. The record is from RefSeq and is a predicted model, not a curated record. The transcript has 2 exons. NCBI's taxonomy places the organism in Eukaryota, Metazoa, Chordata, Aves, Psittaciformes, Psittacidae.